UACGUAGGCAGCAAGCGUUGUUCGGAGUUACUGGGCGUAAAGCGUGCGUAGACGGUUACAUAAGUCGGGUGUGAAAGCCCCGGGCUCAACCUGGGAAUUGCAUUCGAGACUGCGUAGCUAGGGUGCGGAAGAGGGAAGCGGAAUUUCCGGUGUAGCGGUGAAAUGCGUAGAUAUCGGAAGGAACACCAGUGGCGAAAGCGGCUUCCUGGUCCAGCACCGACGUUCAGGCACGAAAGCGUGGGGAGCAAACAGG
This 253-nucleotide ribosomal RNA is filed under the name uncultured bacterium. RNAcentral describes it as "partial 16S ribosomal RNA". It matches the Rfam family "Bacterial small subunit ribosomal RNA", at positions 524 to 776 of the family's 1533-position model. The record is from RNAcentral.